Molecule: ribosomal RNA, 511 nt
Filed under: Aenictolixa exilis
Lineage: Eukaryota; Metazoa; Arthropoda; Insecta; Coleoptera; Staphylinidae
Description: partial 16S ribosomal RNA
Rfam family: Bacterial large subunit ribosomal RNA (bases 385-511)
Source: RNAcentral
GUCUUUUUGAUAAUAAUUUAAAGUCUAGCCUGCCCACUGAAUUAUUAAAUGGCCGCAGUAAUUUGACUGUGCAAAGGUAGCAUAAUCAUUAGGUUCUUAAUUAGAAUCUGGAAUGAAAGGUUGAACGAAAAAAUAACUGUCUCUUUAUAAAUUUUUUAGAAUUUUAUUUUUAAGUAAAAAAGCUUAAAUAUUUUUAAAAGACGAGAAGACCCUAUAGAGUUUUAUAUUAAUAAUUUUAAUAAGUAAUUAGAAUUUUAUGUUAAUUAAUUUUAUUAAUAUUUAGUUGGGGUGAUUGGAAAAUUUAAAUAACUUUUAAUUUAUUUAAACAUUAAUUUAUGAAUUAUUGAUCCAUAAUUUAUGAUUAAAAGAUAUAAUUACCUUAGGGAUAACAGCGUAAUUUCUUUUAAGAGUUCUUAUUGUAAAAGAAGAUKGCGACCUCGAUGUUGGAUUAAAAYUUAAUUUUGGUGAAGAAGCUAAAUUUUUAGGUCUGUUCGACCUUUAAAAUUUUACA